CUCGUAGGCGGUUUGUCACGUCGGGAGUGAAAACUCAGGGCUCAACCCUGAGCCUGCUUCCGAUACGGGCAGACUAGAGGUAUGCAGGGGAGAACGGAAUUCCUGGUGUAGCGGUGAAAUGCGCAGAUAUCAGGAGGAACACCGGUGGCGAAGGCGGUUCUCUGGGCAUUACCUGACGCUGAGGAGCGAAAGUGUGGGGAGCGAACA
Molecule: ribosomal RNA, 207 nt
Filed under: uncultured bacterium
Lineage: Bacteria
Description: partial 16S ribosomal RNA
Rfam family: Bacterial small subunit ribosomal RNA
Source: RNAcentral